This 396-nucleotide ribosomal RNA is filed under the name uncultured bacterium. Its description in RNAcentral is "bacterial SSU rRNA". It matches the Rfam family "Bacterial small subunit ribosomal RNA", at positions 29 to 429 of the family's 1533-position model. The record is from RNAcentral.
AUUGAACGCUGGCGGCAUGCCUUACACAUGCAAGUCGAACGGCAGCACGGGGCAACCUGGUGGCGAGUGGCGAACGGGUGAGUAAUGCAUCGGAACGUGCCAUUGAGUGGGGGAUAACGUAGCGAAAGUUGCGCUAAUACCGCAUAUUCUGUGAGCAGGAAAGCAGGGGGACCGCAAGGCCUUGCGUUCUGGGAGCGGCCGAUGUCGGAUUAGCUAGUUGGUGGGGUAAAAGCCUACCAAGGCGACGAUCCGUAGCGGGUCUGAGAGGAUGAUCCGCCACACUGGGACUGAGACACGGCCCAGACUCCUACGGGAGGCAGCAGUGGGGAAUUUUGGGACAAUGGGCGGAAGCCUGAUCCAGCCAUGCCGCGUGAGUGAAGAAGGCCUCGGUGUAAG